Triticum urartu is the source of this 3907-nucleotide non-coding RNA. NCBI's taxonomy places the organism in Eukaryota, Viridiplantae, Streptophyta, Magnoliopsida, Poales, Poaceae. The record is from RefSeq and is a predicted model, not a curated record.
GCCCCCUGCCUCCACCACUGGAGUGCCCCUGCCACCAUCAGCCGGCCUAGUAGCCACCACGAGGCCCCGUUGUACAGAAAACCUGGAUCUGGGCAGAACCAGCCGGCCUCCACCACCACAAGCCAACCCCCGGCGCUCCAAGCUCGACGCAACACACCACCCACAGAGGCCAUGCUCCUCGCGCGCCACGGUCCAGCCGCCCUGCACCAAAGCCGGCCGGACUAGGGUAAGGAGCAAGGCGCGCACACCCGUCCGAGCACACAUCCUCGCGGCCGCCGCAAUUCGGCCAAGCAGCAGCUCACCACCGCGCCGCCGUUCGCCGCACGCGCAAAAGAUCCGCCCGCGCCAGCCGUCCGCCCCUGCUUGUGAAGCUAUCCCGUGCUAGUUGUGCCUCGAGUGGAAAGGAGCCAGAGCCCCGCCGCCACCUACGUCGAUUGGGCUUUGCCAGGCGGUGGCGGUGAAGAAGGGGAGGGGAAAUUGGCGGCGAUGCAGUAGACGAUAGUAACCUGUGUGAAUUCGUGUCCAGCAUGUUCCGAGCAUUGGGAUGUUCUUGAAUGACGGUUCGUCUGCAUCAUCAUCAUCUAUCGGCCAUCUUGCACGUCAUGUGUGUACCACUCAAUAUUUUCGGGUCCAAAUUGAAAGCAAACCAUGCGGAAUGGGUAAACACGGUGAAACCCAACCUCAGCCUUGGCAGUUGGCAUCCGAGAGAAAGUGCACGUGGGCGGCCGGAUGAAUCCGCAAUGGAUGAUCUUCAUGCCGUGAGGACCAAAUUCAAGUCUGCACUUGCUGCUCUGCUCAAGGUAAAUGCAUCCACUAUUCAUUCAUUUAACAGAGCUUGCAAUCUGCCGGACAUGCUACUUAAGUUUUGCCUAACUCUAUGGUUUCAUAUUAAUGGGACCGUGGGAAAACCCGUAUUGCUAAAAAAACAGAACUUGCAAUCAUAAUCCUAUUGCGGCGCCCAUUUUCUGAACAUGCUUUACUCCACGAGGCGAGGCCAUCUCUUGCUGAAUCCUCCAUUACAGGGGGUUGCAUGAUUCUGUCCGAACAUAUGCAAUGUAUAUCUACCAUAAAGAGCAGAGCUGACAGAGUAUGUGUAUUAACUAGAUUUUGACGAUGAUGACAACAAAUUCAGAGUACAAACAGAGAUCCUUAACACAACACAACACCUACUGUGACAUUCAUAUCUGUCAGAGGCAAGAAUUGACUGAUCUUAGUUCCAGUUCAGAAUAAUUGCAAGCCAUGCUUCCAAAGAAAAUAGAUAAAGAUGGGUUGAAUGCUUAGUAGUACAUGAUCCUGUGCCGGCAGGCUUACAAAACAUAGCCAAAUAUUGAGCAUAUCCUUGUUUACAAGCCACAUCACAGUGUUUAACGAAGUAGUAAUACGCCCUCCGUCCCAUAAUACUCCUAUAAGACAUUAUUACAUCCGAUAUAUGGGACUAGUAUCUAAGCACAAAGACGAGGAUAUAUAGUACCUCAACAAACCAUCUAAUAAGGACUCUUUUCGAAAACAGAAGGCAUUUCUCUGCUCCAAAGCCUGAGCUCCCAAACCGAAGGCGUUCUGCUAUCUUUGGUGAUCGGAUUUGGCUUAGAAACAUGAAAGGUAGCAAAACCAUGUGCCGAGUCCCAAGACAUAUCAUAUUGUGUUCUGUUGGGUUGACAAAUAAGGAAAUAAAUUAUUGCCUUUGUUUGUAUUACCGUCUCUCUUUGGUGUAAGCUACCCUUCCUUCAAAUGGAGCGAAAGAUGAGGUCCGAAGACAACUGCCAUCUCUAGAGGUGGCCAACUUUGUAUGGUGUGCAUCAGGGCUUUACUAGUUAAGCUGCGCAAGCAGUAGUCAGAAGCUGAAAAAAGGUAAUGAAAAGCAACGGCCAUGACUUCUUGUGGAAAUCUUCCUGUUAAGUCAGAUGCGAUGAUAUUGUCUGCACAAGGCUUGCCGAGUCCAUUUGAUAUGCAACACAAUGGAUCUGGACUCCAGCUUGUAAUAAAUUGCACCAUGCUUUCCAACAAUACUGGCAUGGCUAGUGAAUCAAAAUAUGAAACAUCCUGUGUAGGUAUUUGAGUGAGUUGUCCCAUAGCGACUUCAGCCGCAGACUUAAAUUGAGGUCCAAGUGAAGUCAGACAUUUUGCGAUAACUCCAAUUAUGUUUGUGCUUUCUUGUAGUCUUAGAGUCAACGGUAGAACAAAACUUUUAAGUGGUGCCUGGUGGUCUUCUCAUCAAAACUCUAGCAUUGCGACCAUGGUUUUCACUUUCAGUGAGAUUUCGGUGAAAUCCACUGAAUUUCAGUAAUUUCAGCAGACACUGAAAUAUUACGUUUCGGCCAAAAUAUUUCAGCAAUUUCAGUAUAGCACAACCAUUUCAAUAUUUUUCAAAAUAUUUUUCAAAAUUAUCAAAUUUUGAAUUGAAUUCAAGUGAAUAUUUCGGUCAUUUGGCUGAAAUGGAAACUGAAAUCACUGAAAUUCACUGAAUUUCAGUAAUUUCGGUUGGUGCUGAAAUUUUUCUGAAACUGAAAUUGAAAACCAUGAUUGCGACACUACCAUAUCCUUCUGCAUAAGCCGGCAAUAUACAAAGAGAACAGGUUUGGCUUCCUCGCACCACUUCAUAGGAGAGACCCUUGCCUUCAAGAAGAUGCCUGAUGAGAGGAUUGAGAAACCUAUAGUGAGAAAGUGAACAUCCGGAUUCCAUGUCCCUAACAAACUUGUCGGCUUCGUUGGCAAACCACUCAAACCUUCGAACAGCAGAGCUACUAAGCAACAUGGGAGUGAGUUACCGUAACAUAUGUGUAUAACUGGUUGUGCUCAAUCCAAAUCCAUGUACCCACCCUCUGAGCUUUGUCUUAGGUGUGGGUGUGAAUUUUGGUGCUCUCCCUCUGAGUUUGUUAACUGAAUAUGCAUUGCGUCUUUUGUCCCCUGAUGAUGCGGUUGACAUAUUUGCCGACUGAAUAUGUUGCUUUCCUUUGUCCAUGGUGUUUGUUUUGUGAAUUAUUUUUCUGUACCAGAUAUGCUGUCCAACUAUAUUUCGUGUCGGUUUGUGUCUGUUUCUGUUAAUCUGAGUUUGUUAACUGAAUAUGCAUUGCGUCUUUUGUCCCCUCAUGAUGCGGUUGAUUUCCUUUGCUGCAAUCGCCAUGUGUUGUAAUCGUGCAAAUUUGUGUAAUUGUAUGCUUGAUCGUGAAACAAGCACAUAGGAGCAAUUUCAAAUAUUUUUUGAGUGCCAUUGAAACAUCUUACCAGAUUAACAGAAACAGACACAAACUGGCACGAAAUUCUGUUAAAUCGUGCAAAUUUGUGUAAUUGGUAUGCUUGAUCGUGAAACAAGCACAUAAGAGCAAUUUCAAAUAUUUUUUGAGUGCCAUUGAAAACAUCUUAUCAGAUUAACAGAAACAGACACAAACUGGCACGAAAUUCUGUUAAUCGUGCAAAUUUGUGUAAUUGGUAUGCUUGAUCGUGAAACAAGCACAUAAGAGCAAUUUCAAAUAUUUUUUGAGUGCCAUUGAAACAUCUUACCAGAUUAACAGAAACAUAGUUGGACAGCAUAUCUGUCUGGUACAGAAAAAUAAUUCACAAAACAAACACCACACGAGUACAGCAUAACUGGUACAGAAAAUACAUUCACAAAACUUUAGUCGACAGCACAGCAACUGGUACAGAAAAUACUAAAUUCACAAAACCAAACAAACACCAACAACUCACACGAGAUAUAUCCUUAAAGUCCACCAAAUAUAGUUGGACUGGUACAGAAAAUACUAAAUUCACAAAAUACAACAAAUCAAAAGGACCAUAUAUCUUAUUAUAAUACUACACAUCCUUGUACCGAGAUGUCCCACUUCUCAGAAACCAGACUGGACCAUGCAACAGUAAUCUCCAACUCAAUGCCUCCAGUGAGUAUACAUGUUUGCUGGCUUAUGUUGGAAAA